This is an RNA transcript of Neofelis nebulosa (Clouded leopard), 4850 nucleotides long. It is a transcript of the gene named TEPSIN adaptor related protein complex 4 accessory protein, with no coding region annotated. The record is from RefSeq and is a predicted model, not a curated record. The transcript is spliced from 14 exons. Lineage: Eukaryota; Metazoa; Chordata; Mammalia; Carnivora; Felidae.
GUUGUUUGCCGGCAUAGACUGCAGGCCCCGCCCCGCGCGAGCGAUUGGCCAGCUAGUCCAGGCCCGCGCGGUGAUUGGAGGGGGUCCGCGGCCGCGGGCGGGGCCGGAAGGUGGCCGGCAUCAUGGCGUCCACGCCGCCGCUGCGGGACCGCCUGAGCUUCCUGCACCGGCUCCCGGUUCUCCUGAAGGGAACGUCGGACGAUGAUGUCCCGUGUCCGGGCUACUUGUUUGAGGAGAUCGCCAAAAUCUCACACGAGUCCCUGGGCAGCAGCCAGUGCCUCCUGGAGUACCUUCUGAACCGUCUGCACAGCGGCUCUGGCCGAGUGAAGCUGAAGGUGCUGAAGAUCCUGCUCCACCUGUGCGGUCACGGCUCCUCCUCGUCCUUGCUCAUCCUCAAACGCAACCCUGCCUUCAUCCAGGAAGCCGCAGUUUUCUCGGGGCCCCCAGACCCUCUCCACGGGAACAGCUUGUACCAGAAGGUGCGGGCGGCCGCCCAGGACUUGGGGAGCGCCUUGUUCUCGGACAACUUGUCGCCCCCGCCUCCCUCCCAGCCACCCAGGGCCCUGCCUCCGGCAGGCAUGGGCUCCGAGUCCAGGCCCCAGGGCGCCCUCCAGGGCUUCGGCUACAGCAAGGAACGGGGCCCCACAGGCUCUGCGGGCGAAGCCUUCCUCUCCACCAUCCAGAAGGCCGCAGAGGUGGUGGCCAAUGCUGUGCGCCCCGGGCCCGAGAGCCCCGGCACCCGGAGGCCCCUCCCGCGGGGUGACGCCUACCAGCCCGCCACGACGCCCACAGCCAGCCGUGCUGGCCCCAGUGCCGGGAAGCCGCUCCCCGGAGCUCUCCCGGGCGCCCGAGGAAGCGUCACGAGACCCCAGCCCGGGCAGGCAGGAGGGGGUUGGGACGAGCCAGACAGCGGCUCCAGCUCCCAGAAUUCAUCCCGGGAGAGCGGUGACCCAGGCAAGGUCUCAGACUCAGGCAGUCGGUCGGGCAGCGACAGCCCCUCAGCGGCUAGCCAGGCACCCAGCGACCUGGCAGAGCGGGUGGAGGCCGUGACCCUGAGCGACUGCCAGCAGGAGCAGAGCCUGGUCCAGACUGUGACACGGGGGCCGCGUGCCUUUCUGAGCCGAGAGGAGGCUCAGUGCUUCAUCAAAGAGUGUGGGCUGCUCAACUGUGAGGCGGUCCUGGAACUGCUGACCCGCCGCCUGGACGGGACCAGCGAGUGUGUGCAGAUGAGGGCCCUGGGCGCCAUCGCGUCCCUGGGCUGCACCGACCUGCUCUCCCAGGAGCACAUCCUGCUCCUCGCCCGGCCGCGGCUGCAGGAGCUCAGCGCGGGCAGCCCUGGACCCGUGACCAACAAGGCCACCAAGAUCCUGAGGCACUUUGAAGCCUCCUGCCGACAGCGGCCCCCCGCCCAGAGGCCCCCGGUCGAGCUGGGCCCUGUGGCUGGCCGCGGGGGCCCGGCCGACCUGCUAACCGACACCGUGCCCUUCUCUGGGAGCCACGCCUUCCUGCAGCCGCUGAGUUCCGCCCUUUUCCCGCCCCAGGGCCCUGCGCACCCCCUUCCCCUCGAUGGCUCCCCGCUCUCAGUCCCCAGGGAGGCCGAGGCCGGCCUGGUGGGUUCCAGAGAGGAGGGGGUCGGACCCGAGUGGAGCCCGCCGGGCACGGGCUCCCCAAAGGGAGUGCCGGAACUUUGCCCAGGGCCCAGGGGCUGCAGCUCCUUGUUUGCUGGCAUGGAGCUGGUGGCCUGUCCCCGCCUGCUGGGGGCCGGUCCCGCCACAGAAGAGGCCCCCCAGGCCCCCUGGAUGCCACCACAGAGGGCGGCGGCAGCAGGAGCCCCUCCCGGCUCGGAACCUUCUGCUUUCCCUUUCCUAAACUCGUGACCUUGCCAGCCUGAGCCACACGUGGAGUCACCGUGGCCCCGGCCUGUAAAUCCCAGGAUUCCGUGACUCUGUGCUGUCCCGUUUGCCCGCAGCCCCCACGUCCCACCGAGGAGUGGUUCCCCUCGGGUGUGUGUGGCCGGUCCGCCCUCCCUCCGGCGUCCCCCCCUCACUCACCAAGGACACGGUGCGGGCAGCUGACCAGAGCGAAUACAACAGCCGCUGAUCAAGCCCCGGGUGAUGUGCCGCCGGUCCACGAGCCAGCAGAGCCAGGAGCAGAGCAUGGGAACACAUGUGGAUCUCAGCAUGUCAGGCCCAGGGGACCUUCCUAAAGGAAGGCACUAGCAGCAUUCGCAAAGGAAGCGAACAAUGUUCACGGAGAAGCCACGAGCAGAUUUGGAAUUCCUGUCCAGUCAGAACCCACACCCCUCCCAGCCUGCAGACCCAAGAAGUGGCCGUGACCCUGGAGGUUUGGUUCCAGAACCAGAGAGCGAAACUCAGGAAAGCUGAAUACAAGCAUCCGCAGCAAAAACAAGAACGCAGACAGCAGCAGUUAGCUGGGCGGAGUCAAGACCGGCUCUUCCUGGACAAAUACGCUCCUACCCUGCUUCCUCGGUGUACGCAGAUCGCCCAAUACCUUCCUUCCAACCCUGCACGUGCCCCACUUUGAAGGCUCCCCCAGACCAUUCUGUUGGCCACCAAACAGUCCACCUUGGCUGCCGCCAAGAUCCUAACAUCUCCCUUUGUCCCGUUCAGGGAUCUCAGAUUCUUUCCACCGGCUUCCCUGCUAAUUCCUUUGCUUCUGCGUCGCCACCAAGAACCUUAGGAGAGAAGCUAGACACACAAAAAAGCCACAUACCGUGAUUUGCCAUGAUGCCAAACGGGGGGCCGAUAGAAGAUCUACACAACACGGAUGCAUUUCAAAAGCAUUCUGCUCUGUGAAAGAAUAAAGACACAAAGCGCCCGUGUGGUGGAAUCGAGCAGAAGGAGGCAGUAACCUUUCUUGGGAUGGUGACGUUUCAUGUCUUAAUUAGGUUGGUGGUUACCCGGAUGUACAAACUCCUUGAAAGACACAGAACUCUAAUACUAUGUACACCACAAAGAAACAGCCAUGUGACAGGAUGGAGGCGUCGGCUAACGCCACGGCGGUAACCCUUUUGCAUUCUAUAAAUAUCAAAUCAGCACCUUUGUGUACCCCUUAAACUCACACAGGGUUAUGUGGCAAUUCACUCGAUGCAUCAACUCAAUCUCAGUAAACCUGGAGGGAAUAAAUGUUUUAAUUAUGUCUCAAUAAAAUAUAUAUACAUAGGUCAUGAAUUGGAAGAAUAGAUACUGUUAAAAUGUCGAUACUCCCCAAAGCAAUCUACAUAAUCAAUGCAAUCCCUAUCAAAAUAACACCAGCAUUCUUCACAGAGCUAGAAUAAUCCUAAAAUUUGUAUGGAACUAGAAAAGACCCCAAAUAGCCAAAGCAAUCCUGAAAAAGAAAACCAAAGCCGGAGGCGUCACAAUCCCGGACUUCAAGAUGUAUUACAAAGCUGUAAUUAUCAAGAUAGUAUGGUACUGGCACAAAAACAGACACUCAGAUCAAUGGAACAGAACAGAGAACCCACAAACAUAUGGCCAACUAAUCUUUGACAAAGCAGGAAAGAAUAUCCAACGGAAUAAAGACAGUCUCUUCAGCAAGUGGUGCUGGGAAAACUGAACAGCGACGUGCAGAAGAAUGAACCUGGACCACUUUCUUACACCGGACACAAAAAGAAACUCAAAAUGGAUGAAAGACCUAAACGUAAGACAGGAAGCCAUCAAAAUCCUAGAGGAGAAAGCAGGCAAAAACCUCUUUGAUCUCGGCCGCAGCAACUUCUUACUCAACACGUCUCCGGAGGCAAGGGAAACAAAAGCAAAAAUGAACUACUGGGACCUCAUCAAAAUAAAAAGCUUCUGCACAGAGAAGGAAACAAUCAGCAAAACUAAAAGGCAACCGACAGAAUGGGAGAAGAUGUUUGCAAGUGACGUAUCAGAUAAAGGGUUAGUAUCCAAAAUCUAUAAAGAACUUAUCAAACUCAACACCCAAAAAGCAAAUAAUCCAGUGAAGAAAAGGGCAAAACACAUGAACAGACACUUCUCCAAAGAAGACAUCCAGAUGGCCAACAGACACAUGAAAAAAUGCUCAACAUCACUCAUCAUCAGGGAAAUACAAAAAACCACAAUGAGAUACCACCUCACACCUGUCAGAAUGGCUAACCUUAACAACUCCGGCAGCAACAGAUGUUGGCGAGGAUGUGGAGAGAGAGGAUCUCUUUUGCACUGCUGGUGGGAAUGCAAACUGGUGCAGUUGGGAGGUUCCUCAAAAAAUUAAAAAUAGAACUACCCCACGACCCAGCAAUUGCACUGCUAGGCAUUUAUCCACGGGAUACGGGUGUGCUGUUUGAAAGGGGCACAUGCACCCCAAUGUUUAUAGCAGCACUACCGACAAUAGCCAAAGUAUGGAAAGAGCCCAAAUGGCCGUCGAUGGAUGAAUGGAUAGAGAAGAGAUGGUACAUAUAUACAAUGGGCUUUUACUUGGCAAUCAAAAAGAAUGAAAUCUUGCCAUUUGCAACUACAUGUAUGGAACUAAAGGGUAUUCUGCUAAGCAAAAUUAGUCGGAGAAAGACAAAUAUCACAUGACUUCACUCAUGAGGAAUUUAAGAGACAAAACAGAUGAACAUAAGGGAAGGGAAGCAAAAAUAAUAUAAAAACAGGGAGGAGGAGAAAACAUAAGAGACUCCUAAAUACAGAGAACAAACUGAGGGUUGCUGGAGGGGUUGUGGGUGGGGGGUGGGCUAAAUGGGCAAGGGGCAUCAAGGAGGACACUUGUUGGGAUGAGCACUGGAUGUUAUACAUAGGGGAUGAAUCACUGGAAUCUACUCCUGAAAUCAUGAUUGCACUCUAUGCUAACUAACUUGGACGUAAAUUAAAAAAUAAAUUUUAAAUAUUGUA